RNAcentral lists this ribosomal RNA (495 nucleotides) under uncultured bacterium. RNAcentral describes it as "partial 16S ribosomal RNA". It matches the Rfam family "Bacterial small subunit ribosomal RNA", at positions 28 to 507 of the family's 1533-position model. The record is from RNAcentral.
GAUGAACGCUGGCGGCGUGCCUAAUACAUGCAAGUAGAACGCUGAAGGAGGAGCUUGCUUCUCCGGAUGAGUUGCGAACGGGUGAGUAACGCGUAGGUAACCUGCCUGGUAGCGGGGGAUAACUAUUGGAAACGAUAGCUAAUACCGCAUAACAGUAGAUAUCGCAUGAUAUCUGCUUGAAAGGUGCAAUUGCAUCACUACCAGAUGGACCUGCGUUGUAUUAGCUAGUUGGUGAGGUAACGGCUCACCAAGGCGACGAUACAUAGCCGACCUGAGAGGGGGGGCGGCCACACUGGGACGGAGACACGCCCCAGAGUCCUUCGGGAGCCAGCAGUAGGGAAUCUUCGGCAAUGGGCGGAAGUCUGACCGAGCAACGCCGCGUGAGUGAAGAAGGUUUUCGGAUCGUAAAGCUCGGUUGUAAGAGAAGAACGAGUGUGAGAGUGGAAAGUUCACACUGUGACGGUAUCUUACCAGAAAGGGACGGCUAACUACGUG